Molecule: long non-coding RNA, 997 nt
Organism: Dipodomys spectabilis (banner-tailed kangaroo rat)
Lineage: Eukaryota; Metazoa; Chordata; Mammalia; Rodentia; Heteromyidae
Exons: 3
Source: RefSeq, a predicted model, not a curated record
GUCCCAACGCCGCUUACCAGAGAACCCUUGAGGACAUGUUGGAGACAGUUGGUGCGGGCUGUGCUGUGAAUUCCCCCGAAGAGCUAGAGGGGAUGGAUGCUGCAGCUUAGAGAUUUCUUCAGCCCAGUAUUCUCCCAUUGUGCUGUUCCUGGUUGUGUUUAGCAACCAGAGGCACCCAGUAUGGGGCUCCAACGACCAGUGAACUGAAGUAUUUGGAAAAGCCAACUGAAGAACAUUGAAGAGUUGGUGGUCCAGGAAGGAACACACCAGGACCAUGCUUCAAGACCAUCAGGAUAACAAUGGGGCAAACUAAAAGCAAAAGGGCUAAGUAUUUUGAGCUGAUAAAGAUGCUGCUGGCAGUGUCAGGAGUAAAAGUAAAGAGAAGAGAUUUUGAGGAUCUAGCCUGUUAUAUGGAGAAAUAUUGUUGCCGGUUACCUCCACAAGGAAUGCUGCAAACGCAGCAGUGGAAGGAGGUGGUCGGGGCCUUUGAAAGGGCUGGCAGCCAGGGGAAAAUAAUCCCAUGUAAAAUUUGGGUUUUAUGCCAUUUAAUUACAGUGGUAUUGCAGCGUUCUCAAACUCCUCCACCAUCAGAGUGUGGGUCUGUAUGGGAAGCUCCCGUGUAGAACCAGGAUAAGGAUGGAGACUCUCGGUCUUGUGACAAAGAGCAUUAAAAAUGCAAAGCCUGGGAGAAUGAUGAGGAGUCUGCCCCCAGACUCUGCAGAUGUCUGGCUACCAGCCCAAAAACUAAAACUCAGGAAUGAAGAAAAGAUCAUCCAACAUCAAGGGACCUCUGGAGGAAUCCUUGAAGAAGAUGAGGGUGACUGAAGGCUCUGAAUGAACAGAACAGCACAACAGAACAGGGACCAUUCCCACCUGGGGACAAAUGAAGAAUCUUUCUCAAGAAGCCAAAAGACGUCUAAAGGAAGCCUGGCACCAGUGGCGCACACCUGUAAUCCUAGCUACUCAGGAGGCUGAGAUCUGAGGAUUGUGGUUUGAA